Molecule: ribosomal RNA, 793 nt
Filed under: uncultured archaeon
Lineage: Archaea
Description: bacterial SSU rRNA
Rfam family: Archaeal small subunit ribosomal RNA
Source: RNAcentral
ACUGCUCAGUAACACGUGGACAACCUGCCCUUAGGUUGGGUAUAAACCCGGGAAACUGGGUAUAAUACCCGAUAGGUCUCGAUUGCUGGAAUGCAUCGAGAUUUAAAGCUCCGGCGCCUAAGGAUGGGUCUGCGGCCUAUCAGGUAGUAGUGGGUGUAGCGUACCUACUAGCCUACGACGGGUACGGGUUGUGAGAGCAAGAGCCCGGAGAUGGAUUCUGAGACACGAAUCCAGGCCCUACGGGGUGCAGCAGGCGCGAAAACUUUACAAUGCUGGCAACAGCGAUAAGGGAACCUCGAGUGCCAGGUUACAAAUCUGGCUGUCGAGAUGCCUAAAAAGCAUUUCAUAGCAAGGGCCGGGCAAGACCGGUGCCAGCCGCCGCGGUAACACCGGCGGCUCGAGUGGUAACCGUUAUUAUUGGGUCUAAAGGGUCUGUAGCCGGCCGGAUAAGUCUCUUGAGAAAUCUGGCAGCUUAACUGUCAGGCUUUCAGGAGAUACUGUCUGGCUCGAGGCCGGGAGAGGUGAGAGGUACUUCAGGGGUAGGGGUGAAAUCUUGUAAUCCUUGAAGGACCACCAGUGGCGAAGGCGUCUCACCAGAACGGACCUGACGGCAAGGGACGAAAGCUAGGGGCACGAACCGGAUUAGAUACCCGGGUAGUCCUAGCCGUAAACGAUACUCGCUAGGUGUCGGCCACGGUGCGACCGUUGUCGGUGCCGUAGGGAAGCCGUGAAGCGAGCCACCCGGGAAGUACGGCCGCAAGGCUGAAACUUAAAGGAAUUGGCGGGGGAGCAC